GGUAGCUCUAGAAACAUCGGCUCUUUCAUAUCCUUUCACAAAGAAAUGCUCCUCCAUUUUUUUACUUGGACUUCUUCAUCUUCUUAAUUGGGUAGCAAUUGAUGACGGGAUUCAGGCCUUUUUGGUUGUAGUUUCAGUUGAGUUUCAAUUGCCCAUUUAUUAAUUAUAUACUUUUAUAGUUCUCCAAUGAGGUUUCUCUAUAAUGAUACCCUAUCGUCAUUCUUGUCGUGUCAUCUUAAAACUCAUGUGCCUACUUUUAUUUCUCUUAUUUCUAUUUGGAAUAUCUAUUUAUUUGCGUCUGUAUGUAUAAGAAUUUUAUCAUGCAAUUGUCUUUUGGGGUUUAAUUAUGAUUUUCUUUUUGUCUAGGAGCUUUUGAAUUAGAUUUAUUUUCAAAUUUUUAGUUUGUGUGUUUUUUCGUCUGUUCCGGUAAUUUGAAGGGAUGAGAGGGGUUUAUCGAAUUGAUUUCUUCUUAACACCUUAACAACUUUUUAAUUGCAUCUAAAUUAUUAAAGCGAGGUUCUUGAAUUGCUUUGGUAGCUCUUUCCUUUUGUCAUAUUGUUUUAUAAUUUGUAAUAAUCCAUUUUUGAAGUAUUUUUCAUGGAUUACUUACUGUUACUAUCGGGUUUUUCAUCGAUUCUUGUUGUUUCAUAUCAGGUGAAAUCUUAUGUCUAAGCUCUAACGAACCAAAAUAUAUCAUUCUAAAGAUUCAACCUUUACGUAAGUUGUUUAUCAUGUCUUUUUAUUUUUUGAAGCCCUCGGUUAACUUUAUAUGCCUUUAAGAUUUUGAUGCUUUUACAUAUAAAGUGAAAGAAGUGUAUGAAAUAGUUUGGACUUGUUGGUGAAAAAUGAUAACCAAACAUGAUCUUUUAGUCAUAGAGGAUCAUCAAAGAGUUUCAUUUCAUUUGAAUGAGCCACAUGUAUUUGUUUUGCUUAUAUUGGAGGUUGGGAGAUUCUCUACCAAUAAAAUUUAAAAUGAAAUGGCAUAUUUAUGCAUGUCAUGUAAGUUAGAAUUCAAAGAAGAUUCUAUAAAUACUAGUAUUAAGCAGUUAUAGCUAGAUUCCUUUCAUUUAAUAGUAAGUAGAAAGCGUUGUAAGUGAAUCAUUUCACUAGAUCCAAGUGAGCCAUAUUUGACCUAAAAAUGCCUAAGCUUUUGAUUAUCUCAAUUUUACUCAAUAUUUAUUAUUUUAUUAUUUCCUUAUAAGCUUUGUCAUGAUAAGAAAAAAUAAUUAUAUUAAUUAAGUUUCAUCUUCUUUUCUUAAUGUUGUUUCUCUUUUUUCCGCCUUUUUAUGUUAUAGUAAUAUAGUGAUGUAUGUGUUGCUAAAUUUUAGUUUUAUUUUUUUCUUUAGCAUAGUGUCAGUAUUCUUCAUAAUUAAUGAGAGGAUUGUUGAGAUUAGUUGUAUGUAAAGAUGAUCUUACAACUUGGCAUACUAGAAUGAAAAUAAAAUAAAAAAGGUUGAAGUAUUCUACGAAUGUUGAUAUUUUUCAUUUGAGGCGGGUGAUUGAAUUCAAUAUAUACCUUAAUAUGGCAAAGUUCUGUUUUAAGUGGGAUCGUCAAAUAUGUACACAUUUAGGUCUACUCAAUUAUCUUGGAAUUUAUCGUAUAAAACUAUGGAUUACUUUAAUUUAUGCUUGAAAGUGCAAUUGGAGAAAAAUUACUUUAAUUAUUAGGAGAAGUUUAAUUUUGAAGGACUAUUUGGACAAGUAUAUUUGCUUUGGUUUUAAGUAUUGAACACAUAAAAAAGCUCUCUAAGUAAGUACAUAAAUCAUGUCUUCUUUUAAAGUACAAUCUUUCAGUUUAAUAUUUUUUCUUUACUUUGAAGGGAGCCUUGGAGUAAUGGUAAAAUUGUCUUUGUGUGACCUAUAGGUUAUGUAUUUGAUUCAUAGAAUUAAUCACUGAUACUUACAUCAGGGCAGACCGCCUAUAUUAUACUCCUCAGAUGCGAUCUUUCUCCGAAUCUUACGUAAACGUGGGAUGCCUUGUGCACCCGGUUAUCUUUAGAUACCAAAAGAUAUAUGUUACACCUUUUUUUUUGCCAAAAAAUAUGUGUUAACCUCAGUUGAAAAGGACAUGACUGCUUAUGGUAAUAGGACCUCUAUAUUCGGCUAAAGUUAUUAUAUUCUUCUGAUAUUAACAUUUAACUUUAAAUGUCGAAAAUUUGUAUCUUCGUGCCACAUAAGAAGACGUGACUUAUUUCCUCUUUUUUAGAAAAAGAUAACUGGGACGUAACUAAUUCUACUAGAAGAACCUCUAUUUUCUUCCUAAGUUCUGAGACCUAAUUCCUUAUAUUUUGACUUAGCCUCAGUUGGAAAUGGAAAAAAAUUCUGCAUUUUUUUCGUGUAAAAUCUGAUGUUAUGUUGAUACAUCUUGAGCUAGGCCUCAUUGUGAUAAUUUAUUUCAGGUGUUCCUUCAGUAUGAAGAUUCUAUUAUCCGAUCAUGUAUUUGCAAACUAUGUUAGAUUUAUCAUAUUUGGCUCGAAACAGUACAACACAAAAAGGGU
This 2498-nucleotide long non-coding RNA is filed under the name Nicotiana benthamiana. Its description in RNAcentral is "long non-coding RNA (NBEN_LNC026564)". Lineage: Eukaryota; Viridiplantae; Streptophyta; Magnoliopsida; Solanales; Solanaceae. The record is from RNAcentral.